Molecule: ribosomal RNA, 378 nt
Filed under: Acropsopilio neozelandiae
Lineage: Eukaryota; Metazoa; Arthropoda; Arachnida; Opiliones; Caddidae
Description: partial 12S ribosomal RNA
Source: RNAcentral
AAACUAGGAUUAGAUACCCUAUUAUAAAAUAAACAAAUUGAGGUUAGUAAAAGUAAAACCUAAAAAUCUAAUUAAUUUGGCGGCAUUUUACCUAAUUAGAGGAGCCUGUGAAACAAAUCGAUAAACCACGAAAUAUCUUACUUUCCCAAAAAUUUAUAUACCGUUGUUGGUAGGAAUUCUAAGAAAGAAAAUUCCAAAAAAAAAUAAAAUUAUCUCUUCAAAUCAAGGGGUAAUAAAUGUGCAAGGAUUACAUGUGCUACAAUUUAAAUAAAAGUACAGUAAAUGAAACUCUUAAAUAAUGGAUUUAACAGUAAAAUCUUUACAAAAAAGAGAUUUGAAAAAGCAAUAAAUUGUGUACACAUCGCCCGAUCGCUCUUA